This 433-nucleotide ribosomal RNA is filed under the name uncultured bacterium. RNAcentral's name for it is "partial 16S ribosomal RNA". It matches the Rfam family "Bacterial small subunit ribosomal RNA", at positions 29 to 507 of the family's 1533-position model. The record is from RNAcentral.
AACGAACGCUGGCGGCAUGCCUAACACAUGCAAGUCGAACGAGACCUUCGGGUCUAGUGGCGCACGGGUGCGUAACGCGUGGGAACCUGCCCUUAGGUUCGGAAUACCUCCCCGAAAGGGGUGCUAAUACCGGAUAAUGUCUUCGGACCAAAGAUUUAUCGCCUUUGGAUGGGCCCGCGUUGGAUUAGCUAGUUGGUAGGGUAAAAGCCUACCAAGGCGACGAUCCAUAGCUGGUCUGAGAGGAUGAUCAGCCACACUGGGACUGAGACACGGCCCAGACUCCUACGGGAGGCAGCAGUGGGGAAUAGUGGACAAGGGGCGAAAGCCUGAUCCAGCAAUGCCGCGUGAGUGAUGAAGGCCUUAGGGUUGUAAAGCUCUUUUACCCGGGAUGAUAAUGACAGUACCGGGAGAAUAAGCGCCGGCUAACUCCGUG